GGGGCUGUAGCUCUGUGGCAGAGUGCUUGCCUAGUAUGUGUGAGGCACUGAGUUCGAUCCUCAGCACCACA
Molecule: transfer RNA, 71 nt
Filed under: Marmota monax (woodchuck)
Lineage: Eukaryota; Metazoa; Chordata; Mammalia; Rodentia; Sciuridae
Description: tRNA.Thr
Source: RNAcentral